CAGUAGCCGCGGUAAUACGGAGGGUGCAAGCGUUAAUCGGAAUUACUGGGCGUAAAGCGUGCGUAGGCGGUUCGUUAAGUCUGUUGUGAAAGCCCCGGGCUCAACCUGGGAAUGGCAAUGGAUACUGGCGAGCUAGAGUGUGUCAGAGGAUGGUGGAAUUCCCGGUGUAGCGGUGAAAUGCGUAGAGAUCGGGAGGAACAUCAGUGGCGGAGGCGGCCAUCUGGGACAACACGGACGCUGAGGCACGAAAGCGUGGGGAGCAAACAGGAUUAGAUACCCCAGUAGUCCCUGUCUCUUAUAA
RNAcentral lists this ribosomal RNA (301 nucleotides) under uncultured bacterium. RNAcentral's name for it is "partial 16S ribosomal RNA". It matches the Rfam family "Bacterial small subunit ribosomal RNA", at positions 509 to 809 of the family's 1533-position model. The record is from RNAcentral.